UUUAUUUUUUUAUUUUUGUUGGGACUGUCGGAUUGUAUUGAUUAGAUUCUGCACAAGAAGAAAGCUUUAUACCCAUUUCACUCGCAAGCUUCCGCUUUUCAGGUCAGGAAAUGUUCUUCCGUGAUUCUGAACAUUGAUUUAUUUGUAUGAUUAUCCAACACUGUCACUCAAAGGUUAGAUGAUAAAGUAUUUAACAGACAUCAUUAUACAGUUUUCAAUUUCAAUAUCUACGUCACUAUUUGAGCCUGGUAUCUGCUAAAUGCAUAUAUCCAACUAGUUUAGUGUUGUGUAAUAUAAUGUUCAUGAUGUUUAGUUUUCUUCCUUCCUAAGAAUUAAAGGCAUGUAUACAUUGUGAGUUCAAACAGAAACAGGGAAUAAUAUACACACAAUUCCAUUAAACAUUAAAGCUUCAUAAUGAACAGUAUCUUCCAGAAUAUUAGGGUAAUAGCGUAAUACAAACAAGAGCGAUACGAUGAGUAAUACAAUAUUUGGUUUUAGGCAUGAGGUGUUGGGACUUGUUCUGAAGGCCUCACUAUGACCUUCGAUUGUAUUCAUACAUUUUGGAAAUGAUUGUAACCAUAUAGAAUACUGCUAUCUGAUUAUUACUAAUAUGUCUUUGAGACUCCAGCAACCGUGUAGCAGCAGGUGCUAUGAAACUCUGCUUCCAGAUUAUUGACCAUGCAACAGUUGCGUUGCCCGUAGUGGUCUUUUAGGCUAGAACUGUGACUUUGGUCUGAAAGAUAUGCUUUACGGAUUGAAAGGAGAUGCAUCCUGGAAAAUGAAAGAAUCCUUUAAAUUGCUGCCAGCUUCAAACUGUUGUCUGUUUCAAGGACUUUCAGUUUCUUCUGGGGCAGUAAAUAGCAAUAUAAUGCCUCUGCAGCUUCACUGACCUAUAAACAAAUUCCAGAUUUAGUUAAGGAAUGCAGCAAAUAGCGUCAAAGCUUUAGUUCGGAUUCUUCUAGGAGCACCUCCCAUGUUUGACUCCAUGACUGGAUAUUGGAUGAUAUUGAUGUUUUGAAUAUGUCCUUUGAUCUUAAGGACAUACUAAUUGCAGGCUAAUUGUUUGAGGAACGACUAUUGGUGGUCCUGAGGAUUCACUACUGGGAUCUGAAGAAAUGGAUGUGGAUAGGUAUGUCCUUUGAUUUUAGGACAUUUGAAAACUAUGGAUAUGAGGAACAGAUAUCGAUACUUAGGUUGACACGAUGUUUGAUCAGAGGAAGGAAUAUUGGUACUUCUGUUGACUAGACAAUCUGAGGAAUGAAUUUAGGUAGUAGUGUUGACAGAGGAAGCUCCACCUCCAAGGAACUGCUUAUGAGAAGAGACAUCCUUAUAUGCCUGGACUCGUCACAUCCAGAGAAGGGUAGACUUCCAGAUGGCAUUUGAACCAUAUGCAUUCGCCGGUCGCUCUUUCAACCAAAAGUUCACUAGGGGAUGCUGUGACACCAGCAAUGCCUCCCCCACUCCCAAAAGAAAAAGAAAAGAAAAACAGGUACAAAAUAAUUGCUGCUGUCCUAAGUUGUAACUGAAUGCCAAAACGAUUAAGAAGUUUCCAAAGUCUCCAGUACAAGAAAUGCGGAAUAGCUGCGAUUGUAUGCCAAUCUACACAGCUGAGCAGUUCAUAUAACUUGGAGAUCUUUGAAUCAUUUGUAGGAGAAUAUCAUUGACUGUAAUAAUGUGAGUUAGAGACGCAUUAUUACUGAGGCGUCCUUUUGAUAUUCUCCUAUAAAUAAAGGUUGAUUAGCUACAUUGGAGCGUUGCUCCAGUGGCUAAUGCAGAAUAAUCGUUUACCGAUCCAUCUACUACUUCGGUGUUUCCGUCACUGGUUACUCCUUUUCCACCAUCAAUAACUGUAUGUGAGAACUUUGCGGCAGAAUAGUCCAUACCUUCGUAUAAGAAUGGCAAAUCAUCCCACUCAAUAAAAUUAUUGUCAUGGGGAAAAUCUCCCGGUCCUCCGUUUAUUGAUGGUAGUGUAUAAUCGUAAUCCUUCGGCAGAAAUGAAUCAAAGUCUGAUCCCAGAUUUGCUCCUUGUUGAGAAUAUCUCUGAAUUAACAAUUAUAGAAAGAAAGAGUUAAGUUUGGAUACACUUCUUUUGCUGCAGCAUAUUUAGAAGUUCAGAUAAAAAGGUUUUAAAAGAGCAUGUUUAUUCCCACCUCUUGAAUCAUAUUGAUAUUUGCAGCUUGAUUUUCCGAACUGGAUGCGGUCUUGCUAACUAAUUCGUCAUCGUCAUUGGUUGAAAUAUUAUUCUUCUUCACAAGAGAAGGCUCAUUGUCCUCAAAUGGAUAUGCCCUCUUACGACAUUCAUCAUUAUGGUCAUUGGUGGUAUACAUUGGUGGCUGAUGCAGCUGAUGCAGUUGAGGUGGUGCAGGCGUAUCAAAGAGUGAAUCCAGAUUUUCUGGGUCAUCUAGUAGCUGUUUGAUCACAAACAAGAAAGUGUCAGACAAAUUGGUCUUUAAAGGUCGGCCUUCAACAGAGGUCGAAAGAUCAUUCUUAUCUAUAUGACAAGGAUCAGUUUGCGUGCCUUGGAAUUCAUGAGGAUUGCCAAUAGGACUCUGAAGAGCAUUUUCCAGCUCCUUUAAAGCCAGCUUGAUUUUCAACAUUGGAGGCCAUACUGCAGCUAGUGCUACCUCGAUCGAAGAAUGGGGCAUCCUUAUCAUGAUCAGAGUUGUCUGACUUAUACUUCAAGCAACAGACAACAAAGUCCCCUAUCUGCUUAGGAGGAUUAGAAUGUGCCUCAAUGAGAUAAAACUCAUGAAUGACCCAGCCAGUCUUCUGGGGUUUCGGCACUCCACGUUUGUAGAAGGUUAAGGUCCUCUUUCUCCCAAUCACAGCUUUGGAGCCAGGGGCCUUGAUGUCGCGGUCCUUGCCUGUGAUCUUCCAGAACCCUUCCCCUGUAGUCCUGUUGGAGCGU
Molecule: long non-coding RNA, 2908 nt
Organism: Rosa chinensis
Lineage: Eukaryota; Viridiplantae; Streptophyta; Magnoliopsida; Rosales; Rosaceae
Exons: 5
Source: RefSeq, a predicted model, not a curated record